Long non-coding RNA from Galeopterus variegatus (Sunda flying lemur), 636 nucleotides. RefSeq lists it as uncharacterized. The record is from RefSeq and is a predicted model, not a curated record. The transcript is spliced from 5 exons. Lineage: Eukaryota; Metazoa; Chordata; Mammalia; Dermoptera; Cynocephalidae.
UGGUGUCGUGGGUCUCUCGGUGGUCGGGUCUGCUGCCGUCCACGUCCGUUCCCCUCAGCCUUACCGCCGCCUGCCCGCACCCGCCGCUCCAGCCACCUAGGCCGCGGGAUGUGCAGCGCGGCACCGAGGAGCCGGGCCUACCCACCUGGUGCGGCCGGAGGCCCGGAGGCCACGUGGGCCGCCUGCGCUGGGAGAGGGGCCGGAGCCCUCGGGGGCCGCGCCUUUUUCCCGCCGCGACCUGCGUAGCCCUGCGCUCCGAACUGAGCGAUGAAGAUUCCAGGAAGAUUCUGAUGAGUGAGAAUUCUGGGGGUCAUGACAGUGAUGAAACACAACAACUUUGGGACCCGGUUGUCCUGAAGUUUCCUGAUAGUGACUGAUACUGAAGAAUCUGAGGAGACCAGCUUGUUUCUGGAGCUGUGCCUUAGACUAAGAUCUUUUAAGCUGUCCUCAUCUGUGAUUAUGGAUCUAUAGAGUUGGGAAAGAAACGCCAUGGGAAGAGGCAGGCAGAAGGACAACAGGUUUUUUUUGGUGGCAACAGUAAGCUCUGUAAACAGUCCUUUGUUUUUUGCUAAUGCUAUAUCUGGUUCCUAAAUAUAGGUGAUCAAUAAAAAACUCUUUUGUGUCUUGUUCAUCAAA